CAAACGACUCUCGGCAACGGAUAUCUCGGCUCACGCAUCGAUGAAGAACGUAGCAAAAUGCGAUACUUGGUGUGAAUUGCAGAAUCCCGUGAACCAUCGAGUUUUUGAACGCAAGUUGCGCCCAAAGCCAUUUGGUUGAGGGCACGUCUGCCUGGGCGUCACACA
RNAcentral lists this ribosomal RNA (165 nucleotides) under Pycnosorus globosus. Its description in RNAcentral is "5.8S ribosomal RNA". It matches the Rfam family "5.8S ribosomal RNA". From Rfam's summary of the family: 5.8S ribosomal RNA (5.8S rRNA) is a component of the large subunit of the eukaryotic ribosome. The record is from RNAcentral. Lineage: Eukaryota; Viridiplantae; Streptophyta; Magnoliopsida; Asterales; Asteraceae.